RNAcentral lists this transfer RNA (71 nucleotides) under Synechococcales cyanobacterium ATA2-2-LB2. RNAcentral describes it as "tRNA-Ala". The stretch from base 1 to 48 matches the Rfam family "tRNA", at positions 25 to 71 of the family's 71-position model. Rfam says of the family: Transfer RNA (tRNA) molecules are approximately 80 nucleotides in length. The record is from RNAcentral. Lineage: Bacteria; Bacillati; Cyanobacteriota; Cyanophyceae; Synechococcales.
GCCUGCUUUGCAAGCAGGAUGUCAGCGGUUCGAGUCCGCUAACCUCCACUGUCGAGAUUAAUGUCUGAUAG